Molecule: ribosomal RNA, 574 nt
Filed under: Aureobasidium melanogenum
Lineage: Eukaryota; Fungi; Ascomycota; Dothideomycetes; Dothideales; Saccotheciaceae
Description: eukaryotic LSU rRNA
Rfam family: Eukaryotic large subunit ribosomal RNA
Source: RNAcentral
AAACCAACAGGGAUUGCCCCAGUAACGGCGAGUGAAGCGGCAACAGCUCAAAUUUGAAAGCUGGCCUUCGGGUCCGCAUUGUAAUUUGUAGAGGAUGCUUUGGGUGAAACGCCAGUCUAAGUUCCUUGGAACAGGACGUCAUAGAGGGUGAGAAUCCCGUAUGUGACUGGAAAUGUUAACCUAUGUAAAGCUCCUUCGACGAGUCGAGUUGUUUGGGAAUGCAGCUCUAAAUGGGAGGUAAAUUUCUUCUAAAGCUAAAUAUUGGCGAGAGACCGAUAGCGCACAAGUAGAGUGAUCGAAAGAUGAAAAGCACUUUGGAAAGAGAGUUAAAAAGCACGUGAAAUUGUUGAAAGGGAAGCGCUUGCAAUCAGACUUGUUCAAACUGUUCGGCCGGUCUUCUGACCGGUUUACUCAGUUUGGACAGGCCAGCAUCAGUUUCGGCGGCCGGAUAAAGGCUCUGGGAAUGUGGCCUUCACUUCGGUGAAGGUGUUAUAGCCCAGGGUGUAAUACGGCCAGCCGGGACUGAGGUCCGCGCUUCGGCUAGGAUGCUGGCGUAAUGGUUGUAAGCGACCCG